GACGAACGCUGGCGGCGCGCUUAACACAUGCAAGUCGAACGGAAAGGCCUGCUUUCCCUUGUGGAUUGCGGGUACUCGAGUGGCGAACGGGUGAGUAACACGUGAGUGAUCUGCCCCCAACUUGGGUAUAAGCCUGGGAAACUGGGUCUAAUUCCCGAUAGGACUGCAGGGUGGUGCCUGUGGUGGAAAACGAUUUUCUAGUGGUUGGGGAUGAGCUCGCGGCCUAUCAGCUUGUUGGUGGGGUAAUGGCCUACCAAGGCGGCGACGGGUAGCCGGCCUGAGAGGGUGGACGGCCACAUUGGGACUGAGAUACGGCCCAGACUCCUACGGGAGGCAGCAGUGGGGAGUAUUGCACAAUGGGCGGAAGCCUGAUGCAGCGACGCCGCGUGGGGGAUGACGGCCUUCGGGGUGUAAACUCCUUUCGACCGCGAGGAAGCCACCUGGUUGGAAGGGUGGUGACGGUAGUGGUAGAAGAAGCACCGGCUAACUACGU
Molecule: ribosomal RNA, 493 nt
Filed under: uncultured bacterium
Lineage: Bacteria
Description: partial 16S ribosomal RNA
Rfam family: Bacterial small subunit ribosomal RNA
Source: RNAcentral